This is a long non-coding RNA of Solea senegalensis (Senegalese sole), 310 nucleotides long. RefSeq lists it as uncharacterized. The record is from RefSeq and is a predicted model, not a curated record. NCBI's taxonomy places the organism in Eukaryota, Metazoa, Chordata, Actinopteri, Pleuronectiformes, Soleidae. The transcript is spliced from 3 exons.
AGUGGUGACGUCUACCAUAUCGUGAUGGCGGUAGCCUGGUCUCUUUUGAAUUCCGCCCAGCUUUUCGAAGUUUACGUUGCGUCCGGUUGGUGAAAUGUCACCGUUUUCUGUCGUAAACACACAAUAAGUGAAGCGUUAUAAUGGACUCCGUCGUGGGGGAUGACGUGACUCUGCCCGUUGACAUCAACGGAAGCUGCAGACUGCCAGACUCCAUAGAUGCUGGUGAUUAUUCUACAGACAGCAUGACAGCCCCGUCCUUUCCUGAUAAGAUGUCACCAAGCAAAGCGCUCACCAUGAAGGACUAUGAGAA